AGAGUUUGAUCAUGGCUCAGAAUCAACGCUGGCGGCGUGCCUAACACAUGCAAGUCGAGCGAGAAAGUGGAGCAAUCCAUGAGUACAGCGGCGCACGGGUGAGUAACACGUGACUAACCUACCCUCGAGUGGGGAAUAACUUCGGGAAACCGAGGCUAAUACCGCAUAACACUUACGAGUCAAAGGAGCAAUCCGCUUGG
This 200-nucleotide ribosomal RNA is filed under the name uncultured bacterium. RNAcentral's name for it is "partial 16S ribosomal RNA". It matches the Rfam family "Bacterial small subunit ribosomal RNA", at positions 8 to 222 of the family's 1533-position model. The record is from RNAcentral.